UUUCAGUAUAAAUUACACAUUUUCUUCUUAAAUUAUGAGAAAUGUUAUACUUUGGUUGACUAACUUUAAUAAAUUGUAAUUUCAAACUAAAUCUUUUAGAUUAUUGCAUCGAGCUUUACGGUCCAAUUUAAAUAACUGAAUUAUGAUUUGACGUUGAAGUGGUAGUGAUGUAAUGAUGUAGCAUUUUAGCCAUUCUCGUACCAUCAACUAUAACACAGUCACAUCAUGAUUGUACCACCAACAUAUUA
RNAcentral lists this long non-coding RNA (248 nucleotides) under Ananas comosus (pineapple). Its description in RNAcentral is "long non-coding RNA (ACOM_LNC038815)". Lineage: Eukaryota; Viridiplantae; Streptophyta; Magnoliopsida; Poales; Bromeliaceae. The record is from RNAcentral.